AGCAUAUAAUUAAGCGGAGGAAAAGAAACUAACCAGGAUUCCCUCAGUAAGGGCGACUGAAGCGGGAAUAGCUCACCAUGUGAAUCUGCGCCGUCUGGCGCCGAAUUGUGGUCUGGAGACACUGGCGCUAUCGGGCCGGGCCAAGUCCCUUGGAACAGGGCAGCUGAGAGGGUGAGACUCCCGUCCGCCUGGUCCACGGAGCGAGUGUCGACGAGUCGAGUUGUUUGGGAUUGCAGCUCCAAGUGGGUGGUAAAUUCCAUCGAAAGCUAAAUAUGGGUGGGAGACCGAUAGCGUACAAGUACCGUGAGGGAAAGAUGCAAAGAACUUUGAAAAGAGAGUUAAAGAGUACCUGAAAUUGCUGAAACGGAAGCGAAGGAAACCAGUGCCAGCUGCCUCAUACUUCCCCCUCCGCUUGCGGGUGGGGCGCUGUGAUCAGCGUUGUCAGCCCUGGCUCGAUCGUCCGGAGUGCCUCCCGGGGAGUUUUGACCCGGGACAGGUUGCGGACGGUGGGGCUGGGAUUCUUGGCUGACGAAAUGGUUUUCUUUCCCCCGUCUUGAAAC
This 560-nucleotide ribosomal RNA is filed under the name Bacillariophyceae sp. YS-2016a. Its description in RNAcentral is "LSU rRNA". It matches the Rfam family "Eukaryotic large subunit ribosomal RNA", at positions 37 to 660 of the family's 3401-position model. The record is from RNAcentral. Lineage: Eukaryota; Bacillariophyta; Bacillariophyceae.